Rattus norvegicus (Norway rat) is the source of this 705-nucleotide non-coding RNA. Lineage: Eukaryota; Metazoa; Chordata; Mammalia; Rodentia; Muridae. The record is from RefSeq and is a predicted model, not a curated record.
CUGCCCUCUGUGCUGCCAGUAGCCAUGGGUCCAGAAAGAAAGGAGAGAGAUUCCUUUUCUCCUUCUCCUCUGGAGGCACACAGCUUAGCCUAUCACCCUGAGGCUUCAUCUGGAAGAUCUAUUUUCUGCAUCACAGACUCGGGCCACCAUGGGCUUCCUGAAUGACUUGGAACACAUGUCUAUGUUAUGUCUGUGUCUCUUUUUCUGCCAUUGGCUGUUGCUUACCACUCUGCUGGGGAUGGCUGGCUGGAUGUGGAAGCAGCUGACAGACAACACUUUCAAGCAUAGCCUGGAACAAGGGCUGUCUCACUGCAGAGGAUAAAUCCAGCUUCUGAAGGGUGCCAGGCCAUUGAGUGUUAGAAUGUGCAUCCGGGAAAAUUCCAGAAGAAAACUUCUGAAACAGCACCACCUCCCAAAGGAUCCUGGAGAUCUCUGUGGAGGAUCGGAGGCAGUGUGAGGGGACAGUGUUCCCUGGAGACCUGGCCAGCUUCCAGCCCUUGACCCAGCACUUUUAAGGCUGCCCAUUUUCAGGCCGUUGGAUCUGCAAAGGAUCAAGGGACCGUUGGAUGCUGCCUGCGGAUGCAGCUGAAGAACUGUCAGUCACCUCUCUAGCACCGAGUCUGCCUGCAUGCUGCCGUGCUUUCUACUGCGACGAUAAUGGACUAAACCUCUGAACCGUAAGCCAGCCCCAAUGAAAUAUUUUCC